RNAcentral lists this ribosomal RNA (253 nucleotides) under uncultured bacterium. Its description in RNAcentral is "partial 16S ribosomal RNA". It matches the Rfam family "Bacterial small subunit ribosomal RNA", at positions 524 to 776 of the family's 1533-position model. The record is from RNAcentral.
UACGGAGGGGGCUAGCGUUGUUCGGAAUCAUUGGGCGUAAAGGGCGCGUAGGCGGCCGAUCAAGUCGGAGGUGAAAUCCCUCGGCUCAACUGAGGGAUUGCCUUCGAUACUGUUCGGCUUGAGUCCUGGAGAGGGUAGCGGAAUUCCCGGUGUAGCGGUGAAAUGCGUAGAGACCGGGAAGAACACCAGUGGCGAAGGCGGCUACCUGGACAGGUACUGACGCUGAAGCGCGAAAGCUAGGGGAGCAAACAGG